UUGGAAACGACUGCUAAUACUCUAUACUCCUGCUUAACACAAGUUGAGUAGGGAAAGUUUUUCGGUGUAGGAUGAGACUAUAUAGUAUCAGCUAGUUGGUAAGGUAAUGGCUUACCAAGGCUAUGACGCUUAACUGGUCUGAGAGGAUGAUCAGUCACACUGGAACUGAGACACGGUCCAGACUCCUACGGGAGGCAGCAGUAGGGAAUAUUGCGCAAUGGGGGAAACCCUGACGCAGCAACGCCGCGUGGAGGAUGACACUUUUCGGAGCGUAAACUCCUUUUCUUAGGGAAGAAUUCUGACGGUACCUAAGGAAUAAGCACCGGCUAACUCCGUGCCAGCAGCCGCGGUAAUACGGAGGGUGCAAGCGUUACUCGGAAUCACUGGGCGUAAAGGGCGCGUAGGCGGAUUAUCAAGUCUCUUGUGAAAUCUAAUGGCUUAACCAUUAAACUGCUUGGGAAACUGAUAGUCUAGAGUGAGGGAGAGGCAGAUGGAAUUGGUGGUGUAGGGGUAAAAUCCGUAGAUAUCACCAAGAAUACCCAUUGCGAAGGCGAUCUGCUGGAACUCAACUGACGCUAAGGCGCGAAAGCGUGGGGAGCAAACAGGAUUAGAUACCCUGGUAGUCCACGCCCUAAACGAUGUACACUAGUUGUUGGGAUGCUAGUCAUCUCAGUAAUGCAGCUAACGCAUUAAGUGUACCGCCUGGGGAGUACGGUCGCAAGAUUAAAACUCAAAGGAAUAGACGGGGACCCGCACAAGCGGUGGAGCAUGUGGUUUAAUUCGAAGAUACGCGAAGAACCUUACCUGGGCUUGAUAUCCUAAGAACCUUAUAGAGAUAUGAGGGUGCUAGCUUGCUAGAACUUAGAGACAGGUGCUGCACGGCUGUCGUCAGCUCGUGUCGUGAGAUGUUGGGUUAAGUCCCGCAACGAGCGCAACCCACGUAUUUAGUUGCUAACGGUUCGGCCGAGCACUCUAAAUAGACUGCCUUCGUAAGGAGGAGGAAGGUGUGGACGACGUCAAGUCAUCAUGGCCCUUAUGCCCAGGGCGACACACGUGCUACAAUGGCAUAUACAAUGAGACGCAAUACCGCGAGGUGGAGCAAAUCUAUAAAAUAUGUCCCAGUUCGGAUUGUUCUCUGCAACUCGAGAGCAUGAAGCCGGAAUCGCUAGUAAUCGUAGAUCAGCCAUGCUACGGUGAAUACGUUCCCGGGUCUUGUACUCACCGCCCGUCACACCAUGGGAGUUGAUUUCACUCGAAGCCGGAAUACUAAACUAGUUACCGUCCACAGUGGAAUCAGCGACUGGGGUGAAGUCGUAACAAGGUAACCGUAGGAGAACCUGCGGUUGGAUCACCUCCUUUCUA
This 1362-nucleotide ribosomal RNA is filed under the name Campylobacter jejuni. RNAcentral's name for it is "bacterial SSU rRNA". It matches the Rfam family "Bacterial small subunit ribosomal RNA". Lineage: Bacteria; Pseudomonadati; Campylobacterota; Epsilonproteobacteria; Campylobacterales; Campylobacteraceae. The record is from RNAcentral.